Molecule: ribosomal RNA, 260 nt
Filed under: uncultured archaeon
Lineage: Archaea
Description: partial 16S ribosomal RNA
Rfam family: Archaeal small subunit ribosomal RNA
Source: RNAcentral
CAGCCGUAAACUAUGCGCGUUAGGUGUAUCGGUGACCACGAGUCACCGAGGUGCCGAAGGGAAACCGUGAAACGUGCCGCCUGGGAAGUACGGUCGCAAGGCUGAAACUUAAAGGAAUUGGCGGGAGCACCACAACGGGUGGAGCCUGCGGUUUAAUUUGGACUCAACGCCGGGAAGCUCACCGGAUAAGACAGCGGAAUGAUUGCCGGGCUGAAGACUCUGCAUGACUAGCUGAGAGGAGGUGCAUGGCGUAGACGUCU